RNAcentral lists this small RNA (29 nucleotides) under Bombyx mori (domestic silkworm). Its description in RNAcentral is "ovarian small RNA-25637". The record is from RNAcentral. Lineage: Eukaryota; Metazoa; Arthropoda; Insecta; Lepidoptera; Bombycidae.
UCAGAUCAGGAACUGGAGAUCACCGUCGA